UAGGGAAUCUUCCGCAAUGGACGCAAGUCUGACGGAGCAACGCCGCGUGAGUGAAGAAGGAUUUCGGUUCGUAAAACUCUGUUGUUAGAGAAGAACAGCGCAUAGAGUAACUGUUAUGCGUGUGACGGUAUCUAACCAGAAAGCCACGGCUAACUACGUGCCAGCAGCCGCGGUAAUACGUAGGGGGCUAGCGUUGUCCGGAAUCACUGGGCGUAAAGGGUUCGCAGGCGGAAAUGCAAGUCAGGUGUAAAAGGCAGUAGCUUAACUACUGUAAGCAUUUGAAACUGCAUAUCUUGAGAAGAGUAGAGGUAAGUUGAAUUUUUAGUGUAGCGGUGAAAUGCGUAGAUAUUAAAAAGAAUACCGGUGGCGAAGGCGACUUACUGGGCUCAUUCUGACGCUGAGGAACGAAAGCGUGGGUAGCAAACAGG
RNAcentral lists this ribosomal RNA (428 nucleotides) under Bacteroidota bacterium. RNAcentral's name for it is "Bacteroidetes bacterium partial 16S ribosomal RNA". It matches the Rfam family "Bacterial small subunit ribosomal RNA", at positions 355 to 776 of the family's 1533-position model. Lineage: Bacteria; Pseudomonadati; Bacteroidota. The record is from RNAcentral.